RNAcentral lists this non-coding RNA (110 nucleotides) under Pseudo-nitzschia australis. Lineage: Eukaryota; Bacillariophyta; Bacillariophyceae; Bacillariales; Bacillariaceae. The record is from RNAcentral.
UAUUUGACUGUUUCUUAGAUUUUUUAUUUUUCUUCCUGGUGUUCUCGUCGUCGUCAAUUGCUAUAUUUUUAUUAUAAUAGAACGUGUGGUAUGGAGCACCACUCAAAAAU